This 229-nucleotide unclassified non-coding RNA is filed under the name Hevea brasiliensis (rubber tree). Lineage: Eukaryota; Viridiplantae; Streptophyta; Magnoliopsida; Malpighiales; Euphorbiaceae. The record is from RNAcentral.
GAAAGACCCUGUCUCGAAAGAAAAAGGAAUGAAAGAGAGAGAGAAAGAAAACAAGAGAAAAGGAGACUUGGAUUACUUAUAAAUGUAUAUUGUGAAAUUUAGGGCAGCAACUAAAAAUUUUUUUAAAGAGAAGGAUUGAGUGCAGUGGCUCACACCUGUAAUCGCAGCACUUUGGGAAGCCCAGGCGAGUGGAUCACCUGAGGUCGGGAGUUCAAGACCAGCCUGACCA